UAGGACCUGGUUGAGCUGAUGUGUAAAAAAAAUAGUUUUUAAAUUUUUUAUUAAACAUUUUUGAUAAAUUUUAAAGGGCAAAAUGGUCAAUUCGUAAAAAAAAACAAACAUUAAAUAAAAAUAAAAAUAUAUCCUAUAUCAAAUCAUAUACGAACGAUUUAGAACAACUUAAAAUCAAACAACUAAUCUAAAAAAAGCCAUAAAUUAAAUAAAAUGCAUUCCAAUCCACAAAGAUCAUCAUCAUCUUUUCUCAUCCAAAGAAUCAACGCCACCCCUAAUUCCUCCAUGACUUCUGCUUGCCUCGACCAAUCUCACCAACGAACGCCUCUCCCCUGCGCCGCCCAGCUCCCGGACUCCGCCGCACUCUGCCACGCCCACCUCGUCGGUCCAAACCAGUGUUGCUCCGCCAAGCCUACAAACACUUCUUUAUUGAUUUUGAGUUUUAAAUCUUCAUUAUCUAGAUUUGCCGACAUCUAUAGUGCAAUUUCAGAUCUGAGCAAGUAAGGGUUUGAAGAUUUAUUUUUUCCCCAUGACUGAUUUUGUGGACAGAAGUCAUGGUAGUUUUCCCUGCAGAUUUCUUACGUGUUUAUCAGAUUUCUUCCCCCCGACCCGUCGUCUCCCCCUUCGCCGUUCCCUUCCUCGCGCCCCCGCUUCCCCCUUGUGCCCAUAAAGAAGAUAAAGGGUAGUCUAGAUAGAUCUGUCAAGGUGGAAGUGGUUGGAUUGGAUACGGAGGGUGAGAGAGAAGGGGCUUUUGAAACCUCGCCAUGAAACCUCGCCGACAACGGUAAAUGUUGUGGAUUCGGCAUCAGUUUCCGGCGACGGUAAAAGAUGGGAGAUCAAUUGAUUUGUCUAAGAAAUCGCCGGAUUGGUUGAUUUUUUGAUUUAUUGAGGAAUCGCCGAUUUGCCGGAUCGGUUGAUUUUUUGUUUUGUCUGAGAUCAGUUAGGUAGAUGGUGAUUUUUUGAUUUGUCUGGAAUCGUUGAUAAAAUUUUGAAUUUGAGACCUAGGGUUUUUUUUUAUCGAAGUUGGGCAGUGAAUCUUGAUCGAAG
This 1047-nucleotide long non-coding RNA is filed under the name Panax ginseng (ginseng). RNAcentral describes it as "long non-coding RNA (PGIN_LNC010671)". The record is from RNAcentral. Lineage: Eukaryota; Viridiplantae; Streptophyta; Magnoliopsida; Apiales; Araliaceae.